RNAcentral lists this ribosomal RNA (474 nucleotides) under uncultured organism. RNAcentral describes it as "partial 16S ribosomal RNA". It matches the Rfam family "Bacterial small subunit ribosomal RNA", at positions 330 to 796 of the family's 1533-position model. The record is from RNAcentral.
CGUACACUCCUACGGGAGGCAGCAGUGGGGAAUAUUGCACAAUGGGCGCAAGCCUGAUGCAGCCAUGCCGCGUGUAUGAAGAAGGCCUUCGGGUUGUAAAGUACUUUCAGCGGGGAGGAAGGCGAUAAGGUUAAUAACCUUGUUGAUUGACGUUACCCGCAGAAGAAGCACCGGCUAACUCCGUGCCAGCAGCCGCGGUAAUACGGAGGGUGCAAGCGUUAAUCGGAAUUACUGGGCGUAAAGCGCACGCAGGCGGUCUGUCAAGUCGGAUGUGAAAUCCCCGGGCUCAACCUGGGAACUGCAUUCGAAACUGGCAGGCUAGAGUCUUGUAGAGGGGGGUAGAAUUCCAGGUGUAGCGGUGAAAUGCGUAGAGAUCUGGAGGAAUACCGGUGGCGAAGGCGGCCCCCUGGACAAAGACUGACGCUCAGGUGCGAAAGCGUGGGGAGCAAACAGGAUUAGAAACCCGUGUAGUCC